AAAUUGAAGAGUUUGAUCAUGGCUCAGAUUGAACGCUGGCGGCAGGCCUAACACAUGCAAGUCGAACGGUAACAGGAAACAGCUUGCUGUUUCGCUGACGAGUGGCGGACGGGUGAGUAAUGUCUGGGAAACUGCCUGAUGGAGGGGGAUAACUACUGGAAACGGUAGCUAAUACCGCAUAACGUCGCAAGACCAAAGAGGGGGACCUUCGGGCCUCUUGCCAUCGGAUGUGCCCAGAUGGGAUUAGCUAGUAGGUGGGGUAA
RNAcentral lists this ribosomal RNA (263 nucleotides) under Escherichia coli. RNAcentral's name for it is "partial 16S ribosomal RNA". It matches the Rfam family "Bacterial small subunit ribosomal RNA", at positions 1 to 260 of the family's 1533-position model. The record is from RNAcentral. Lineage: Bacteria; Pseudomonadati; Pseudomonadota; Gammaproteobacteria; Enterobacterales; Enterobacteriaceae. RNAcentral also lists the same sequence under 3 other names.